RNAcentral lists this transfer RNA (72 nucleotides) under Apaloderma vittatum (bar-tailed trogon). It matches the Rfam family "tRNA". From Rfam's summary of the family: Transfer RNA (tRNA) molecules are approximately 80 nucleotides in length. The record is from Rfam by way of RNAcentral. Lineage: Eukaryota; Metazoa; Chordata; Aves; Trogoniformes; Trogonidae.
GGCCGGUUAGCUCAGUUAGUUGAGCGUGGCGCUAACAACGCCAAGGGCGCCGGUUCGAUUCCCAUUCGGUCA